RNAcentral lists this microRNA (22 nucleotides) under Ixodes scapularis (black-legged tick). RNAcentral describes it as "Isc-Mir-96-P2_3p* (star (passenger))". Lineage: Eukaryota; Metazoa; Arthropoda; Arachnida; Ixodida; Ixodidae. The record is from RNAcentral.
GUGGGUUCUCAAGUGCCAAAGA